RNAcentral lists this ribosomal RNA (253 nucleotides) under uncultured bacterium. Its description in RNAcentral is "partial 16S ribosomal RNA". It matches the Rfam family "Bacterial small subunit ribosomal RNA", at positions 524 to 776 of the family's 1533-position model. The record is from RNAcentral.
UACGUAGGGUGCAAGCGUUAAUCGGAAUUACUGGGCGUAAAGCGUACGCAGGCGGCUUUGCAAGACAGGUGUGAAAUCCCCGGGCCUAGCCUGGGAACUGCAUUUGUGACUGCAUGGCUAAAGUUUGUCAGAGGGGGGUGGAAUUCCACGUGUAGCAGUGAAAUGCGUAGAGAUGUGGAAGAACACCGAUGGCGAAGGCAGCCCCCUGGGAUGUGACUGACGCUCAUGUACGAAAGCGUGGGGAGCAAACAGG